ACGUUAGCUGCAGAAGAAGCACCGGCUAACUCCGUGCCAGCAGCCGCGGUAAUACGGAGGGUGCGAGCGUUAAUCGGAAUUACUGGGCGUAAAGCGCAUGCAGGUGGUUUGUUAAGUCAGAUGUGAAAGCCCCGGGGCUCAACCUCGGAAUUGCAUUUGAAACUGGCAAACUAGAGUACUGUAGAGGGGGUAGAAUUUCAGGUGUAGCGGUGAAAUGCGUAGAGAUCUGAAGGAAUACCGGUGGCGAAGGCGGCCCCCUGGACAGAUACUGACACUCAGAUCGCGAAAGCGUGGGGAGCAAACAGGAUUAGAUACCCUCGGUAG
RNAcentral lists this ribosomal RNA (324 nucleotides) under uncultured bacterium. RNAcentral's name for it is "bacterial SSU rRNA". It matches the Rfam family "Bacterial small subunit ribosomal RNA", at positions 472 to 793 of the family's 1533-position model. The record is from RNAcentral.